GGCCGGAUAAGGCGCUCACGCCGCAUCCGGCAUCACUGCUGACAGCCUGAUGCGACGCUGACGCGUCUUAUCAGGCC
This 77-nucleotide non-coding RNA is filed under the name Escherichia marmotae. RNAcentral describes it as "Nucleoid-associated noncoding RNA 4 (CssrE)". It matches the Rfam family "Nucleoid-associated noncoding RNA 4 (CssrE)". From Rfam's summary of the family: In E. coli small RNA transcribed from repeated extragenic palindromic element (REP325) called nucleoid-associated ncRNA 4 (nRNA4) collaborates HU protein in condensing the DNA. The secondary structure but not the sequence of the RNA is important in nucleoid condensation. Also identified in Shigella as CssrE. Lineage: Bacteria; Pseudomonadati; Pseudomonadota; Gammaproteobacteria; Enterobacterales; Enterobacteriaceae. The record is from RNAcentral.